UAAAUAAUUUAAAUUUUAUUUAUAUCAUCCAGUUUUUCUUUAAUAAUAUAAGUAUCUGUUUGCAUCACGCACGAAACGUUCGUCACACACUGUGCAACUGUUGCAGCACGUGAGUUAGUGUGCGGAAGGACCUGAACCCACAGCAGGGCGAUUUGCGUGCAUUUCGAUCAACUAUUGUGCUCUCUGCAACAGAGAAAAUCGAUCGAGGAAAACCAUUGCACCGAUUGAAAGGAAUUUAUCCGACUCCGGGUACUUCCGUGGGCCAGUGUGGACACUGCAUCCACAACCCGGGAUCAAACGCAGGUUCGAUUGCGGCGGUUGCUUAGGCUUGGGCGAUUGUGGCGUAGUUUGUAAGUGUCGUUAA
Anopheles stephensi (Asian malaria mosquito) is the source of this 364-nucleotide long non-coding RNA. RefSeq lists it as uncharacterized. The transcript is spliced from 2 exons. The record is from RefSeq and is a predicted model, not a curated record. Lineage: Eukaryota; Metazoa; Arthropoda; Insecta; Diptera; Culicidae.